GAUGAAUAACGCAGCGAAAUGCGAUAAGUAAUGCGAAUUGCAGAAUUCAGUGAGUCAUCGAAUCUUUGAACGCACAUUGCGCCCUGUGGUAUUCCGCAGGGCAUGCCUGUUCGAGCGUCAUUUCAACCCUCAAGCUCUGCUUGGUGUUGGGCCACGCCCUCGCGGCCGGCCCCAAAGCCAGUGGCGGCGCCGUCCGGCUCUAAGCGUAGUACAUCUCUCGCUCUAGGGCCCGGCGGCUGCCUGCCAGAACCCCAAACUCUUAUGGUUGACCUCGGAUCAGGUAGGGAUACCCGCUGAACUUAAGCAUAUCAAUAAGCGGAGGA
Molecule: unclassified non-coding RNA, 323 nt
Filed under: soil metagenome
Description: partial contains 5.8S ribosomal RNA, internal transcribed spacer 2, and large subunit ribosomal RNA
Rfam family: 5.8S ribosomal RNA (bases 1-120)
Source: RNAcentral